CAAUACAGAUAUAGACAUACAGUGCGACAAGGAUCUUUUGGCGCGUGGCCAAAAUCGGAACUAACGCCGCCAUCUUGUGAGGUGUCACACUGUCCCCUUGUAUGUGGUGUUGUUAAGUAAAUAAUCUGAAUUUCAAUCUCCUGCGAUGGUAUGUUUAAAUAUUA
This is a long non-coding RNA of Maniola jurtina (meadow brown), 164 nucleotides long. RefSeq lists it as uncharacterized. Lineage: Eukaryota; Metazoa; Arthropoda; Insecta; Lepidoptera; Nymphalidae. The transcript has 4 exons. The record is from RefSeq and is a predicted model, not a curated record.